Molecule: long non-coding RNA, 1133 nt
Organism: Haliotis rubra (blacklip abalone)
Lineage: Eukaryota; Metazoa; Mollusca; Gastropoda; Lepetellida; Haliotidae
Exons: 2
Source: RefSeq, a predicted model, not a curated record
UUCGAUACAGAUUCUUGUACGUUGUCAAGCCUUGACAACGGUACAAGAAUCUGUAUAGAAACGUUGCACUCUCGUAAUAAAGAAGUUGUUAUCCAUAAAGUUUGUCAAUUUUGAAACGGACAAAGCUUAGCAAAUAUUUUAUGACGGUAGAGGUUAUUGAAAAUUGGAUAUAUUACAGACCUACUGACCACGAUAUUGUACUUACCUGCCAAGGUCACAUUGAUAGGGAACAUCGGACAUAAUCCGGGACCAGUAUCUCCUAAGAUAACAGAGCCAAGGUGCUAUACAUUUUGUGCAAUAUCGUCUUUACGGCUGUUUGUAUUCCACAUUGAUCAAAUCACGCGCGUGCUACACAUACCUUCGUGGCAUAUUCGCAACUGGUCAUCCAUUGUACACGUUUAUCAUGGAUGCAUCGGUCAAACUAAAUGAUAUAAUAUCGAGUUCACAAUAACAACGUUAUAGUAAGUGUAAUUAGUAAAUGCGAUUGUCGUCGAUAGCUGGAAAAGGUGUAUAAUACGAACGACAAUCACAAAUCGGCUGUCUAGUAAAUUCACCCAGGUAAGGAAAUUUACUUUCUUCUACUUUGUUAAAACCUUCACGCUUCAUGAAUUUGAUCUAUCGUACCGUAACCAUAUGUUACAACCUUCAGGUAUGUGGAACGUGGCAUCCUUUCAUGGAUUUCUCAGAUAUUCUGUAUUACUGUUUAUGUUUACUGAUGAACACUAUGCUGUGUUGAAUAUGUAGUUGUAUACUGUAUAUCCUGUGUGACGACCCACUCGGGUCGGCCGUGCUCUAUUCAGUGGUGCGUGAACUGAGGUAAUAAUAAUAAUAAUAAUAAUAAUUGGCUUGUAUAGCGCCUAGUUUCCAUCACAGAUGCUCAACGGCGCUGCAUACAUUGUUAAAAACACAAUGAGUGUGAAAAGAGUUCUAUUCAGAAGCCAUCUUGAAGAAGUAUGAGGUGGUGUACCUUGAUAUUUAUCAUCACUGAUGUAUCGUGUGUAAUUCUUUUAUAGCAUUGCUGUUCUUGAUAUAUAUGUACUCCAAUAAACGAUUGUGAAACUUGAUUAUGUAUUGUAGAGAAGACUAGUUAUGUAUUCAUUCGGAGGCUCUGUAAUAAACUCAUCGUUUAUUUA